This 108-nucleotide ribosomal RNA is filed under the name Neobulgaria pura. RNAcentral's name for it is "partial small subunit ribosomal RNA". It matches the Rfam family "Eukaryotic small subunit ribosomal RNA", at positions 1639 to 1744 of the family's 1831-position model. Lineage: Eukaryota; Fungi; Ascomycota; Leotiomycetes; Helotiales; Gelatinodiscaceae. The record is from RNAcentral.
CGUUGAUUACGUCCCUGCCCUUUGUACACACCGCCCGUCGCUACUACCGAUUGAAUGGCUCAGUGAGGCUUUCGGACUGGCCUAGGGAGAGUGGCAACACUCACCCAG